AAGUUACUUCGGUGCAUCGGUGACAGGUGGUGCAUGGUUGUCGUCAGCUCGUGUCGUGAGAUGUUGGGUUAAGUCCCGCAACGAGCGCAACCCCUAUUGUUAGUUGCCAUCAUUCAGUUGGGCACUCUAGCGAGACUGCCGGUAAUAAACCGGAGGAAGGUGGGGAUGACGUCAAAUCAUCAUGCCCCUUAUGACCUGGGCUACACACGUGCUACAAUGGUUGGUACAACGAGUUGCGAGUCGGUGACGGCGAGCUAAUCUCUUAAAGCCAAUCUCAGUUCGGAUUGUAGGCUGCAACUCGCCUACAUGAAGUCGGAAUCGCUAGUAAUCGCGGAUCAGCACGCCGCGGUGAAUACGUUCCCGGGCCUU
This 369-nucleotide ribosomal RNA is filed under the name uncultured Streptococcus sp. Its description in RNAcentral is "bacterial SSU rRNA". It matches the Rfam family "Bacterial small subunit ribosomal RNA", at positions 1012 to 1382 of the family's 1533-position model. The record is from RNAcentral. Lineage: Bacteria; Bacillati; Bacillota; Bacilli; Lactobacillales; Streptococcaceae.